Molecule: ribosomal RNA, 504 nt
Filed under: uncultured soil bacterium
Lineage: Bacteria
Description: bacterial SSU rRNA
Rfam family: Bacterial small subunit ribosomal RNA
Source: RNAcentral
AGAAUGAACGCUGGCGGCGUGCUUAACACAUGCAAGUCGAACGAGGCGGAGGGGGCAACCCCUCCAGUCGAGUGGCGGACGGGUGAGUAACACGUGGGUAACCUGCCCGGAAGUGGGGAAUACCUCGGGGAAACCCGAGCUAAUACCGCAUGACAUCUUUGGGACGAGAGUCCCGACGAUCAAAGCGGGGUCGCAAGAUCUCGCGCUACCGGAUGGGCCCGCGCCCGAUUAGCUAGUUGGUGAGGUAACGGCCCACCAAGGCUUCGAUCGGUAACCGGCCUGAGAGGGGCGAGUCGGUACGACGACCGGAACUGGAGACACGGUCCGGACUCCUACGGGAGGCAGCAGUGGGAAUCGUUGCGCAAUGGGCGAAAGCCUGACGCAGCAACGCCGCGUGGAGGAUGAAGGCCUUGGGUUGUAAACUCCGUGUCGGUUAGGAAGAAAUCGUUCGCGCUCAUACCCGCGGACGUUGACUGUACCAGACAAAGGACGCCCCGGACUAAC